Molecule: RNA transcript, 4438 nt
Organism: Oncorhynchus kisutch (coho salmon)
Lineage: Eukaryota; Metazoa; Chordata; Actinopteri; Salmoniformes; Salmonidae
Gene name: palmitoyltransferase ZDHHC18
Exons: 9
Source: RefSeq, a predicted model, not a curated record
CCUCAGAGGGCAGAUACCCGUGUGAACAACAGGCACAAGUAGUAGGUUGUGUUCGUAAAUUACAUCUGGAGUGCCAUAGUGCGCACUCGAGCUUGCAAGCUACUUCGAGACACAAACGAGAGCACCCCUCAUUCUGACAAUUUUACCAGCCCCAGCAGAGCUGUGUUCAUACUAUCUUGAUCGUUAGUGACCAACUGUGCUGCUAGCAACAAUAUCAUACCGUUUUUUUUAACCAACUUUUGCGGACACCUGUUGUAUUCAAAGGGUGUUGCGCGUUGGUAAAUCCAUCAGUUAUUCUGCUCUGACACUCAAACGAGUAGAUAACCUCAAUGUACCAACGCACCCGACCGGAGUCGUUUUUCUCAACGUUGCUGGAAUGCCACGUGCAUCCACUUAUAUCAGAACAAUUAACAGCCUGAACAUUACGAAACUUUUUUUAAGAUCAAAUAAGCCUCCAUAUUAAAAAGGGUUUAUCUUUUGGGCGGAGUAAAUUCUCACUCCAUAGGGCUGGACCAUACGAUAUAAGUACACCUGACCUGCACGCUUUCCUGAAUUUAAUAGACUGCACAAGACCAAAACAAAUCAUAUUUCGAUAAAUGUUUAUGUUUAACAGACUGUCUGCAGUUGGUGUCGAUUCGUAGCUACGAAAACUCCCUCAUCUGUCAACAUCACCACCGGGAAAUGUGACGUUACUUUCUGUCUGGAAGUGUAGGAGUUGGUGGGCUCAUAUAGGAUCAAACUGUCCGUAUCAGACCCCUGGUAUGGUACCAAUAGACCUGCUGUGAUAUGUACUCUACUAUUCACUCGUCUGCUCAUCCAUGUUGGGCUCGUUAACCAGCUUUUAGCGGUCUGCUGAUGAAAUGGGUCACACACACAGCUGGUAAUUAGCUAGAUCGGAGGGAUCAUUUAAAAAGUCCAGUUCUCUUCAAUGACUGUAUUUUGGGGACAUUAUUUUCAUACACUGGAUAGUGGAUACGCUUGGUGGUGUUGUUGAGUCAAUGACGACAUGCUCCACUAAUUUCCCGGCGCUGUAACAUGUUUGUAGUUAAUGUUCCUGGCAACGCGCUAGGCUGUUAACUACAUAGGCAUCUAGCUUGCUAACUAGAUAUCGGUGACUGCUCAUCUGCUCCGGACGCCCAAGACUGGGGGAAAUAAAAGUAGUCCGUUUUUUCGAAAAUCAUGAACAAUUGCGAAUACCAACAAAUCGAACCGCUGUCACUUCCAACUCCGACCCCGCCGCCGCGACCCGCAGCUGUUGAAGAGGAGGAGGAAAAGGCACGGAGAAAAUGGGAAGUUUUCCCCGGAAAGAAUCGCUUCUACUGCGAUGGACGGUUCAUCGUGGCUCAACAAAGCGGUGUCCUGCCACUCACCCUCGGCCUCAUUCUGGUCACCACCGUACUGUUCUUUGUAUUUGACUGUCCCUUCCUGGUGAAGCACCUGACUGUGUUCAUCCCAGCGAUUGGAGGAGUUCUGUUUGUGUUCGCUGUCAUCUCUCUCCUGCAGACCAGCUUCACUGACCCUGGCAUCCUGCCCCGGGCCACGCCGGACGAGGCCGCGUACAUUGAGAAGCAGAUCGAUAACUCUGGCUCUUCCACCUACCGACUCCCUCCCCGCACCAAGGAGGUGGUGAUCAACCAGCAGGUAGUGAAGCUCAAGUACUGUUUCACCUGCAAGAUGUUCCGGCCACCGCGCACCUCCCACUGCUCCCUCUGUGACAACUGUGUGGAGCGAUUCGACCACCAUUGUCCCUGGGUGGGGAAUUGUGUUGGGAAGAGGAACUAUCGUUUCUUCUACACCUUCAUCGUCUCUCUGUCCUUCCUGACAGCCUUCGUCUUCGGCUGCGUCGCCACACACCUCGCGCUGAGGGCACAAGGGGGGAGGGGCCUUAUUUUUGCUCUUCAGGAGAGUCCAGCCAGUGCUGUGGAGCUGGUGAUUUGCUUCUUUUCAGUUUGGUCCAUAUUGGGCCUCUCAGGCUUCCAUACCUACCUGGUUGCUUCUAACCUGACCACAAAUGAAGAUAUCAAAGGCUCGUGGUCGGGGAAGAGUGAGGCGGAGGACACCGGUAACCCCUACAGCUAUAACAACAUCCUGACUAACUGCUGCUCUGUACUCUGUGGACCCAUGCCUCCCAGGAAACUGAAUUCACCCUAACAUGCUGACCAGACUGCAUGUUGAUUUUUGUCCACCCACACCAGAUGCGAUCAGGACACGAAAUAUCAAAAACAGUUUGAUUGACAGGCGAGGCUUCGUACCAGUGGAGCAGUCAUCGCAGACAGUUUCCAUGGAGAUGGUGCUGCCCAUGCCGGCUGCUAAGGAGAUUAAAGUGGUAGGAGGGCCCACGCCUUCCCAGCUGGCCCCCAUCCUGUGCCUUGCAGGUUCCCUCCUCCCCUCUACCUGCAACCCCCCUCAGGGGCAGACCCCAGUUUAGUUGCCUGUUCUAACACUGGCUGUUGUGUAUGGGGUCACCCUCUCAUGACAGUCUCAGACCAGUGUACUGUAUUACUGUUGGUCAGGAUCUAGUACAGACCAGUGUACUGUAUUACUGUUGGUCAGGAUCUAGUACAGACCAGUGUACUAUAUUACUGUUGGUCAGGAUCCAGUACAGACCAGUGUACUAUAUUACUGUUGGUCAGGAUCUAGUACAGACCAGUGUACUGUAUUACUGUUGGUCAGGAUCUAGUACAGACCAGUGUACUGUAUUACUGUUGGUCAGGAUCUAGUACAGACCAGUGUACUGUAUUACUGUUGGUCAGGAUCUGGUAUUCAGGACAUUACAUAUGGUGGUGUUUCCUGUUCCUGGUAGCCCAGUCUACACCAGAUGGUUCGUUGUUUACCGCUGAAAAGACCAUCUCUGGAACAAGGAAGUGAAACCGCCUGCUAGGCCAUGUUUGACCUGGGUGUAGCUCAACCGUUAGUUACUCACGUCAUUCCGUUCUUUAACGUUAUAACCAGGCAACUCUGUGUUAUGUCUUUCAUUGCAAGGGGAACCCAGCCUACAUAUCUGAUUCAUCCACUUCCUAGCUUGGUUAGAGGUUGAGCCGUUGUUGUUUUGAGGUUCAGGAGAAACUUAAAUACUAGGGAGUUUAUUAGAACAUGUUUGUUUCCAAAGUGUGACUGCCACUGGGCUAUUUAGUUCAGUCUUAUGGUAGUGGCUCUCUCCAACCCGUCAGACUGUCUGCCUCUUCCAAACCAACAGGCCUUUCUGCUGUUUACAGUCAAGCAAUAUACAGACAAGCUGACCUAACCUUGGUUUACUUUAAGGAUACAAGGGCUCAGUCUUGUCUGCUGUAAGUUUGCAUAUUAUAUAUAUUUUUGUACAGAAGGAGUUAGACCAUAGACCAUGUUCAGUAUUUAUACUUUUUAGCAAAACACAUGUUGGUAAUGGAGGUGGUUACUGCUGAGAAUGUACCUGUAACAAACACAUGUUGGUCAUGGAAGUGGUUACUGCUGAGAAUGUACCUGUAACAAACACAUGUUGGUCAUGGAAGUGGCUACUGCUGAGAAUGUACCUGUAACAAACACAUGUUGGUCAUGGAAGUGGUUACUGCUGAGAAUGUACCUGUAACAAACACAUGUUUGGUCAUGGAAGUGGUUACUCCUGAGAAUGUACCUGUAACAAACACAUGUUGGUCAUGGAGGUGGUUACUGCUGAGAAUGUACCUGUAACACAUGUUGGUCAUGGAAGUGGUUACUGCUGAGAAUGUACCUGUAACAAACACAUGUCUGUACCCAUGUGCUGUUUUCAUUUCUCUCAAUAUGGACACUGACAUGUAGUUGGUCACAGCAGAGUCGGGGAAUGUUUUAUUGACACACAUGGAAUUGUCUUUGUUUACGGAGUGUGGACACUUUCCUCAAUGUUGUCUGUAUUUGUCUCUGACGUGAGUCUUUUAGUGUAGUUGUGCGUCAAAGCAUAAUGUAAUGGUCAUGUGACAGAAGCUGCAUACAUUUUUACAUUUUAGUCAUUUAGCAGAUGUUGUUUUUCCAGAGCGACUUACAGGAGCCAAUAGGGUUCAGUGGUUUGUUGUAGUGUAUUCUAAACAGAUGUUGUUUUUCCAGAGCGACUUACAGGAGCCAGUAGGGUUCAGUGGUUUGUUGUAGUGUAUUCUAAACAGAUGUUGUUUUUCCAGAGCGACUUACAGGAGCCAGUAGGGUUCAGUGGUUUGUUGUAGUGUAUUCUAAACAGAUGUUGUUUUUCCAGAGCGACUUACAGGAGCCAGUAGGGUUCAGUGGUUUGUUGUAGUGUAUUCUAAACAGAUGUUAACUGCUCGGGUACCUGCUGCCCUCCAGUCUUCAUCUCUUACUGGUUUCUUAUGCUUUUACAUUGUUUUAUUUGUCUUUUAAAUAUUUGUCAUUUUGGAAUAUUUUAAGUCCAUCUGAAAUGUACUGUAUUAAACAUUGCAUUUAAAAAAAUAAAAUAAAUGCACUUAUUCCCAAAUGA